ACGCUCUUAGUUCAGUUCGGUAGAACGCGGGUCUCCAAAACCCGAUGUCGUAGGUUCAAAUCCUACGGAGCGUG
RNAcentral lists this transfer RNA (74 nucleotides) under Brachypodium distachyon (stiff brome). It matches the Rfam family "tRNA". From Rfam's summary of the family: Transfer RNA (tRNA) molecules are approximately 80 nucleotides in length. Their secondary structure includes four short double-helical elements and three loops (D, anti-codon, and T loops). Further hydrogen bonds mediate the characteristic L-shaped molecular structure. tRNAs have two regions of fundamental functional importance: the anti-codon, which is responsible for specific mRNA codon recognition, and the 3' end, to which the tRNAs corresponding amino acid is attached (by aminoacyl-tRNA synthetases). tRNAs cope with the degeneracy of the genetic code in two manners: having more than one tRNA (with a specific anti-codon) for a particular amino acid; and 'wobble' base-pairing, i.e. permitting non-standard base-pairing at the 3rd anti-codon position. Lineage: Eukaryota; Viridiplantae; Streptophyta; Magnoliopsida; Poales; Poaceae. The record is from Rfam by way of RNAcentral.